Molecule: non-coding RNA, 493 nt
Organism: Cricetulus griseus (Chinese hamster)
Lineage: Eukaryota; Metazoa; Chordata; Mammalia; Rodentia; Cricetidae
Source: RefSeq, a predicted model, not a curated record
CACUCCAGCAAAGGGCGAACUUGACGGUCCAUUGUCUUUAUCCUCUGUGUCUUCCCUACCUGGUUUGAAAGGGCCACCCUUGCCCUUAGCCCCUAGUGGCACUGGGGAUCCUUUCUGGACAGCCACAUUCUUAGAGGCGCAUUUUGUCCUGCAACUUUGAAGGGCCUGCUGUUGACGGAGACCUCCUCUGUCGGGUUAGUCCCUGUGUUGAACUUUGCCAUGAGGGACUUCACAUCUGUUUUUCCAUCCUACAAGCACAGGGAACAACAACAACAACAAAAAAAACCCAGCUGAGAGCCAGAAGUCUCACUUGCAACUUAAAGUACUACAUCUUCAAGGGCUUCCUGAUCUGCGGCCGGGUGCCGGGGUGCUGGGGUGUCGCUGAUUGGUUGACCAGCUAUUGUAACAUUUAAGUUCCUCUAUGGUAAAAUAAGUUGUGAGCAUUUCUUGUAAAGGGAGGGCUAUGGCUGUGCAUAAACUUCUGUUUGUCAUA